UACGAGGGGUGCAAGCGUUGCUCGGAAUUAUUGGGCGUAAAGGGUACGUAGGCGGUCUCGUUUGUCUGGGGUGAAAGCCUUGAGCUUAACUCAAGAAGUGCCCUAGAAACGGCGAGACUAGAGUCCUGGAGAGGGUCGUGGAAUUCCCGGUGUAGCGGUGAAAUGCGUAGAGAUCGGGAGGAACACCAGAGGCGAAGGCGGCUCACUGGCCCGAUACUGACGCUGAGGCACGAAAGCGUGGGGAGCAAACGGG
RNAcentral lists this ribosomal RNA (253 nucleotides) under uncultured bacterium. Its description in RNAcentral is "partial 16S ribosomal RNA". It matches the Rfam family "Bacterial small subunit ribosomal RNA", at positions 524 to 776 of the family's 1533-position model. The record is from RNAcentral.